RNAcentral lists this transfer RNA (67 nucleotides) under Sericostoma personatum. RNAcentral's name for it is "tRNA-Cys". The record is from RNAcentral. Lineage: Eukaryota; Metazoa; Arthropoda; Insecta; Trichoptera; Sericostomatidae.
AACUUUAUAUUCAAUAAUAAAUGAUAUUAAAAUGCAAUUUUAAAGUAGUAAUAAUUUACUAAAGUUU